GAGGGUAUAGCUCAGUGGUAGAGUGCAUGCUUAGCAUGCACGAGGUCCUGGGGUUAAUCCCCAGUACCUCCA
Molecule: transfer RNA, 72 nt
Filed under: Camelus bactrianus (Bactrian camel)
Lineage: Eukaryota; Metazoa; Chordata; Mammalia; Artiodactyla; Camelidae
Also listed under: 2 other names
Rfam family: tRNA
About the family: Transfer RNA (tRNA) molecules are approximately 80 nucleotides in length.
Source: Rfam by way of RNAcentral